UUAGGUUUUGGAAAACCCAACGUGUUUAUUAGGUAGUUGAGGAGAACAGGAUUUUCUUGGUUUGCAUUUUGAGCAGACUUUUUGGUUACUACCUGAGAUAGAGUGGAGAGAGAUAUGUGGAAAGAAGAAAAAGGACCAGUAAGAUGAUAUAAGUGAGUAGAUAAUGAACGGAAGCGCAGUUGGAUGGAGAUCAUGAGUCCUUCUCAAUCUUUUCACGGGAAACAACGAAAAAGACUUAUAGA
RNAcentral lists this unclassified non-coding RNA (242 nucleotides) under Hevea brasiliensis (rubber tree). The record is from RNAcentral. Lineage: Eukaryota; Viridiplantae; Streptophyta; Magnoliopsida; Malpighiales; Euphorbiaceae.